UACAGAGGGUGCAAGCGUUAAUCGGAAUUACUGGGCGUAAAGCGUGCGUAGACGGUUAUUUAAGUCAGAUGUGAAAGCCCCGGGCUUAACCUGGGAAUGGCAUUUGAGACUGCAUAGCUAGGGUGCGGAAGAGGGAAGCGGAAUUUCCGGUGUAGCGGUGAAAUGCGUAGAUAUCGGAAGGAACACCAGUGGCGAAAGCGGCUUCCUGGUCCAGCACCGACGUUCAGGCACGAAAGCGUGGGGAGCAAACAGG
RNAcentral lists this ribosomal RNA (253 nucleotides) under uncultured bacterium. Its description in RNAcentral is "partial 16S ribosomal RNA". It matches the Rfam family "Bacterial small subunit ribosomal RNA", at positions 524 to 776 of the family's 1533-position model. The record is from RNAcentral.